CCUACGGGUGGCAGCAGUGGGGAAUAUUGGGCAAUGGGCGCAAGCCUGACCCAGCAACGCCGCGUGAAGGAAGAAGGCUUUCGGGUUGUAAACUUCUUUUCUCAGGGACGAAACAAGUGACGGUACCUGAGGAAUAAGCCACGGCUAACUACGUGCCAGCAGCCGCGGUAAUACGUAGGUGGCAAGCGUUAUGCGGAUUGACUGGGUGUAAAGGGAGUGUAGGCGGGACUGCAAGUCAGAUGUGAAAACCCCGGGCUCAACCUGUGACCUGCAUUUGAAACUGUAGUUCUUGAGUACUGGAGAGGCAGACGGAAUUCCUAGUGUAGCGGUGAAAUGCGUAGAUAUUAGGAGGAACACCAGUGGCGAAGGCGGCUUGCUGGACAGCAACUGACGCUGAGGCGCGAAAGCGUGGGGAGCAAACAGGAUUAGAUACCCUUGUAGUC
Molecule: ribosomal RNA, 443 nt
Filed under: uncultured bacterium
Lineage: Bacteria
Description: partial 16S ribosomal RNA
Rfam family: Bacterial small subunit ribosomal RNA
Source: RNAcentral